GUCACGCUGUAAACGAUGUCGAUUUGGAGUUUGUUGCCUAGAGUGAUGGGCUCCGAAGCUAACGCGAUAAAUCGACCGCCUGGGGAGUACGGCCGCAAGGUUAAAACUCAAAUGAAUUGACGGGGGCCCGCACAAGCGGUGGAGCAUGUGGUUUAAUUCGAUGCAACGCGAAGAACCUUACCUGGUCUUGACAUCCAUAGAAUUCUGCAGAGAUGUGGGAGUGCCUUCGGGAACUAUGAGACAGGUGCUGCAUGGCUGUCGUCAGCUCGUGUUGUGAAAUGUUGGGUUAAGUCCCGCAACGAGCGCAACCCUUAUUCUUUGUUGCCAGCGAUUUGGUCGGGAACUCAAAGGAGACUGCCGUUGAUAAAGCGGAGGAAGGUGGGGACGACGUCAAGUCAUCAUGGCCCUUACGACCAGGGCUACACACGUGCUACAAUGGCGUAUACAAAGGGAAGCGAAGGUGCGAGCUGGAGCGGAUCUCAUAAAGUACGUCUAAGUUCGGAUUGGAGUCUGCAACUCGACUCCAUGAAGUCGGAAUCGCUAGUAAUCGUAGAUCAGAAUGCUACGGUGAAUACGUUCCCGGGCCUUGUACACACCGCCCGUCACACCAUGGGAGUGGGUUGCACCAGAAGUAGAUAGCUUAACCGCGAGGGGGGCGUUUACCACGAUGUGAUUCAUGACUGGGGUGAAGUCGUAACAAGGUAACCA
This 708-nucleotide ribosomal RNA is filed under the name uncultured Enterobacteriaceae bacterium. RNAcentral's name for it is "bacterial SSU rRNA". It matches the Rfam family "Bacterial small subunit ribosomal RNA", at positions 794 to 1502 of the family's 1533-position model. The record is from RNAcentral. Lineage: Bacteria; Pseudomonadati; Pseudomonadota; Gammaproteobacteria; Enterobacterales; Enterobacteriaceae.